RNAcentral lists this ribosomal RNA (491 nucleotides) under uncultured bacterium. RNAcentral describes it as "partial 16S ribosomal RNA". It matches the Rfam family "Bacterial small subunit ribosomal RNA", at positions 29 to 507 of the family's 1533-position model. The record is from RNAcentral.
AGUGAACGCUGGCGGUAGGCCUACACAUGCAAGUCGAACGGCAGCACAGUAAGAGCUUGCUCUUACGGGUGGCGAGUGGCGGACGGGUGAGGAAUACAUCGGAAUCUACUUUUUCGUGGGGGAUCACGUAGGGAAACUUACGCUAAUACCGCAUACGACCUACGGGUGAAAGCAGGGGAUCUUCGGACCUUGCGCGAUUGAAUGAGCCGAUGUCGGAUUAGCUAGUUGGCGGGGUAAAGGCCCACCAAGGCGACGAUCCGUAGCUGGUCUGAGAGGAUGAUCAGCCACACUGGAACUGAGACACGGUCCAGACUCCUACGGGAGGCAGCAGUAGGGAAUAUUGGACAAUGGGCGCAAGCCUGAUCCAGCCAUACCGCGUGGGUGAAGAAGGCCUUCGGGUUGUAAAGCCCUUUUGUUGGGAAAGAAAAGCAGCAGGUUAAUACCCCGCUGUUCUGACGGUACCCAAAGAAUAAGCACCGGCUAACUUCGUG